AUAAGCUAUUCUUUACAUUUCUCUUGGUUUUAUGUGUGUGUAUAGAUUUAUCAUCCUUAAGAAAGACAUUUAAGGAAGCACCAGUCCAACAGAGGACCUCCACUAAGAAAAUACAACACAAAGCAACAACAACAAAGGCAUAGGACAAAACAGACAGACAUAUCCAUUGCAGCAGAUGUAUGAGUUAUAGUGUAGAAAAACACACAAAAAGAAGGCGCAUAGCAUCCCAGUAGCUGCAACCAAUGAUCACUGUUGAAACACUGAACAAGCAAUUUUUUUAAAAAUCAAUUUUUAAAAAUGACCAAUUACUUCAAAAGAGAUUUAAACGGAUGAAUGAAAUAUUAUCACCCAAGGAUGAAGAUGGCCCUGGUUUUGACAGCUUGGAGCCCAAGACCAGUGGUAGAAUAGCCCCUGAAACGACUUACCUGUUAUUCACUGAGGAUGAGCCCAAGAUCUGAAGUUCCACUUCAGUUGUACUUGAUACCCACAGUUGCAUCACACACUUGCUACUUCAUUACUUCAUCUAUCGUGCCAUUCUUGCAGAAUCUGGUGACAGAAGGACUUUAUCAUAUAGAAAGACUCAAGAACCCCACAGCCCCAUGAUUACUGCCAUCAGCACACCCAGGCAUAGUGGGAAAAGUGCCCAUAUAGAAGACUGAAGAGUUCUUUGUGGCGCUGGGAUGGCAACUCGGUAGUAAAAUGCUUGCCUCACAAGCACGAGAGUCUUAAUUCAGUCCUCAG
This is a long non-coding RNA of Mus caroli (Ryukyu mouse), 741 nucleotides long. RefSeq lists it as uncharacterized. The record is from RefSeq and is a predicted model, not a curated record. NCBI's taxonomy places the organism in Eukaryota, Metazoa, Chordata, Mammalia, Rodentia, Muridae.